UAGGGAAUAUUGGUCAAUGGGUGAGAGCCUGACCCAGCCAUGCCGCGUGCAGGAAGAAGGCCUUCUGGGUUGUAAACUGCUUUUGUCAGGGGAUAAAAUUUCCUUGCGUGGAAAAUUGAAGGUACCUGGUGAAUAAGCCACGGCUAACUACGUGCCAGCAGCCGCGGUAAUACGUAGGUGGCAAGCGUUGUCCGGAUUUAUUGGGUUUAAAGGGUGCGUAGGCGGCCGUGUAAGUCAGUGCUGAAAUAUUCCAGCUUAACUGGGAGGGUGGCAUUGAUACUGCGGGGCUAGAGUACAGAUGAGGUAGGCGGAAUUGACGGUGUAGCGGUGAAAUGCUUAGAUAUCGUCAAGAACACCUAUAGCGAAGGCAGCUUACUAGGCUGUAACUGACGCUGAGGCACGAAAGUGUGGGGAUCAAACAGGAUUAGAUACCCUGGUAGUCCACACUGUAAACGUUGAUUACUCGCUGUGUGCGAUAUACAGUACGCGGCCAAGCGAAAGCGCUAAGUA
This 510-nucleotide ribosomal RNA is filed under the name uncultured bacterium. RNAcentral's name for it is "bacterial SSU rRNA". It matches the Rfam family "Bacterial small subunit ribosomal RNA", at positions 355 to 866 of the family's 1533-position model. The record is from RNAcentral.